Lepisosteus oculatus (spotted gar) is the source of this 5514-nucleotide long non-coding RNA. Lineage: Eukaryota; Metazoa; Chordata; Actinopteri; Semionotiformes; Lepisosteidae. The record is from Ensembl.
CAAACACCUCCCUCACAAAGCUCUCGUCAACCAGCUACACUGUUUGCUGGCAGAAUCAGGCCCUGCAUUUCUGCCAGAAAACCAUUUUGUCCUACUUAAAAGGUCCUGGAUCAAAACAUCUGCAAUGCAUUUGCAAAACAGGAGCAAAAACUGCAAGCCUUUCCAAAAAGAUAAAUCUUCGCAUCUGCUUAAGUGUGGGUGAAGAAUUAUGACUAAGACCAGGCUGGUUGCCCUUCUUUUUCAUAGUCAUCAGGAAGGCUCUUAAGCACUAAAAGCUGGGACAGGACUAUUUUAAGAAGGCAGGUGUUGUAUAAUGCACAUUAUGAUGCUUUUUAAUGUCUUAAUUUUAAAUGCACUCUGGCCUGCUUCCCGGCCUCAUUAAUCCACCAGAAUGAACCACCCUGAGCCCUUAGAUCUGCUGUCCAGUGGGUGUUUAAGGUCAUGCCUGGAAGGCUCCUCUGGUUGCCUAGAAGCUAAAGUCUCUAAGUACAGUAAGGCUUUUAUAAAGUGUUUCAGACUUCAAGUUAAUCAUGUAAUUCUAAUGGUAAUGUGAAACCAUCUACUGAUUAAAAGCUGAAAACAGCAGAAGGAGAUGUUGUCGAUCUAUCCCAGGGAACUACCAUGACUUGUGCCAGGUGCAGACUGCUGGACCUGAGCUUCCUUCCUUCAAAACCUUUGCAUCACCUCAAACACAGGUCUGGCGUGGACACCUGUACAGGAGGAAUUCGCCAGCUAUGGCAUGGACACCAGGUCUGGCGUGGACAGGUGGACAGGCGUGGACNNNNNNNNNNNNNNNNNNNNNNNNNNNNNNNNNNNNNNNNNNNNNNNNNNNNNNNNNNNNNNNNNNNNNNNNNNNNNNNNNNNNNNNNNNNNNNNNNNNNUGGACGGUGGACUGGCGUGGACACCUGUACAGGAGGAAUUCACCAGCUAUGGCGUGGACACCAGGUCUGGCAUGUAACCUGUACAGAAGGAAUUCGCCAGAUCAGGCAUGGGCACCUGUACAGGAAGAACUUGUCAGAUGAGGCGUGGACACCUUGUGCAGGAAGAAUUCACCAGGUCAGAUGUGGAAAGUGGAUCAAUUGCUGUACAGGGGGACGGCAGUCUUGAUGUACAAAUAGCAUUGAGCAUUUCCAUCUGGCUUCACCCUGGAUACGUGCAUUUCCCUGACAAAGGAGUCGACUCAGGGGUGAGGAAGACACUGAGGUUUGCUCAUAACACAACUUCCUUCCCCCCAGCUGUGGGCACGGACAGCCAGCUGUUCAGGAUUUCAGAAUAAAAUUAGUCAACCCUGUGGACGGAUGUGUUUAUUUUAAUCACCGAUAUGUGGAAAAAAAAGACAUCGCAUGUGACCUAUUUCUGGAACCGAACCCCGAUGCAUCGUCCAAAGACCACAUUCAUUGGGUCAGUCAUUGGCUGAAGAGGCACAAGUUCAUAUGUCCCCCCAAAGCCCUUGGUUGGCCAUCUCUGGCCUAGAGGGGCACAGGGCCCCUUGACUUCCCUCCAGCCCCGACCUUCACUCCAUUAAUUCCACUAAUCACCUCUAUUGUUUAUGCACUGAUUGGAAGGGUGGCAGCAUGAUACCAAUGUUAUUCUCCUUCCUCCGUCUCCAGCCAUGGAAACAAUGAUCCUGGUGGUUUUCCAGUAGGGAUUCAGAGCAGUAUGGAACAAAGAGACUAACACGUUAUGCUAAAGGACGGUUUCAGGACUGGGUGCCGAUUACUGCAUUGUUAAGUCUCUGAUCAGUAACAGCAUUAAAUAUGUAUCUUUUACUGGCACCUAGUGGUUGAAGGUGGGAGUGCAUGAGGAGACUACAGAAGCAUGCAGGCCAUUGGCAACAGGAGCUAACUUGAGCCCUUGACAACAUGAAUAUAUUUCAGAUAAUUUAGUAUAAGAAGAGCCCAAUGCAGCUGAACACAUAGCAUCCACAUCUUACAUCUUCUUAAGAAAACAGGAUUUGUGCUUCAGAAAGAAAAAAAUGCCAGCAAUAGUAUACUGAUAGUAAAUAGUAAGAAGCAAUUUCAGAUUAUUCCAACAAUUCAAUUUCACUCACUUCCGCUGAAACGGAAGCCAAAUCGCUACUCCAAAAAAAUGGUCCUUGGACUUAGGCUCCCUGUGCUCUGCUUGGGAAACCCAUUUCGUCAUCCUCGCAAGGGGAAUCUGGUGCAAGCUGGGAGCUUGAGAGGGCUGUGCGUCCAGCAACAGCUGAGUAAUGCGUCGCAGGUGCUGAACAGGCCACAGCUCUGGCGGACUCACGCUUCAGACUCCGCUCACAGCAGCAGUGCGGGAGUCUCCCGACAGGAGGGACUGUGGAUUAGCCGAGAUCCCCGGGAGAGCCCGAUGGCUUGAUGGAUGUCCCUCCUGAGCGGCUGAGGGAGUAACCUGACACAAGACUAAACAACCACAGCGUACCCCAUUUUUCUUUAAAAAAAGACCGCGCUGACUUUAUUGACAGUCUUAACGCCACCCCAACCCCAACCCCUAUCCAUGGCAUUCACUGCACCAUCAUAAAAAUACAUACAGGCACCCAAGAAACGUUUGACCGUUUUCUGCACAUCAUCAACACUGUAACACCACACACAGCUAGGGAGGUUCCCUGAAGAAGAAACAUCCCUUUUGGAGAGAACCCGACACGUGUGCGAAGGCAGGUGUUAAAAUAAAGUUAAUAAAACCUCAGCGAAGCUGCAUGAAAGAGCUAAGGGACCAUACGACUUUUUUUCACUCCCCAAAAAAGGCAGAACAGUUACUGAUGAUGAGGAGGAUAAAACACAGAAACAGUGCAAGAGCAAAUAACAGCGACUUGUCCCUUAGAAGACAGCAGCUCUCAGAGUACUCCCUGACAUCACCAAGACAAGACUCACACUCAGACUUUGGUGCUGCAUCUUGUACUAACAGGUGAAACACAGGGAGGCUGGGAGCAAUCUGUUCAGAUUAAUACACUGAGUCAUUGUUGACUUGAACUAAGAACAAGAUCUUUAACCCUUUAGAGAGAGAGAGAGAAGGGGAUCAAUCAGUUUGAUCGACUCCUAAAGGAAAGAAAAGAACCUAUUGACUGUACAACAGUGGGACAGUUUCAUCACACAAAGCUCUGGUCUCAAAAUGAUCCCUUCUAGUUUCAAUCAAAAUCAAAUCUUUUAUCCGAUCUAAUUAACGUUUUGCCCCCAGUCACCCAGGGCACAGGAACACCCUUGGCUGUUCCAAUUUGCAAUUUAUAUUCUGGAAAACUGGCACAUCCAACCACCUGUAAUGACCAAUUAACAGCAGUGACAUCAUCCAUGUCCUUCUGUGAGCAACUGUGGAUUGCCCCCAGCUCACACACGCUCAUAUUAAUAAGUCACCUGAAAACAAGCUUGAGAAGGUGGAUAACUAUACUAAAAUGUAAAAUCUGAAUUGUGCAGAGUUGAUAAAUACUUAAUUAGCGGUCAUUUAACUUGAAUACUUGUUUGUAGAGAUCUAAAGAAACACCCAGAGCUGGACACUACCAAAUGGACCUGUGUUAAAAGGCAGAGGAUAGAGACAUGCUAUGCACACCCAAACCACAACUUACCUCCUAGGUCAUUCAGAGAGUCACUCAGGCCAGUGGUGACAAGCAAAGGGCCCAGGAACAGGUUAGUAACAGGCUUGGGUUGUGCAAGCACAAAUUUCUUACAACAUGUUUACAGAUGUCUCACUGCUGAAAGUGAGGGUCUGUGCAAAAUACCGCUCCAUGUUCAGUUUGUACAGGUGUGGCUCAUGCAUGAAUUAAGCAAAUAUCAUUCCAGCAUACUUAGGGUUGUGUCUAAAAAUUCUGGACAGACCUGGGUGCCCACAGUUAUGACCAACAUGACUACAAGAGUGGACCUUUGUGUCCACUACCUACACAUUAGCAAUGCAAUUAAGAAAUGGAGCAAACUACUGUACUAUUUUCACAAGACAUGUUUUAGAAGCAGCAGGGAACCCUGUUUGGUUGUACUGCAUUGCUCUAUUAACUCCAAUGCAUCAGCCAUCUUCUGCUUUUGAUUUAUGUUGCGCCGUCUAUUUACUUUCUACUUUCAAACAUUUGGUUUAGGGGCUGCUGGAAAUAUCUUGGUCUGCAAAAUGACCAGCUAGCAGGACACUCGCCUCUCUGUGGCAACGGCCAACAUUACAUCGGCGACUACCCAUCCAGCCGCUGCUUUAAUGGGCAAAACGUCCCACUGUAAAAGGUUAAGGUUAUUCUGAGGGCAAAAGAAAUUUUGCCUUUCUUAGAAAUAAAAGAAAUAUAAAAGCAAUGUGAUCUGAAACAAAAGAACUUCAUUAAGUUUAAAAACUAAGUAAAAAUACUAAAAAUGUUUUUCCACAAUACACAAUGCGUCAGUAAAUAACUUUGACCACUAAAACUGCCUCAGAGCGGUUUGAACAAACCAAUAGAGAAGGGAGAAAAAUUCAUGCCAAUAAGGCCAAUAAAAAAAUAUUCUCUCUCUCACAGCAUGGUUGACCUGGGACACCCUUCCCUGCUCCAGUGGGGGUGACGGCCCAACAGGUUUUACAGGGGUAUCAGUUUCUUAAGAAACCUUCUGGCACCAGUCAACAGCUGCUCUUCGAACUCGGCCUGGGAACACUGGACUGAUGACAACGCAGGUCUAGGUUCUUUAUAGCCAUAGGUUUAAGAGCACCCUGCUGGACUGUGAAAUGAUCAUUUCAUUACUUAAAUUAUUCCAUGACCUGCUAAACUAACUGAAGUGCUUUUGUCCCAUGUCUUGAGAAACAUGCAUUAUGAAGGAUAACCUACAACACCCACUGAUUUGUGCCUCUCCUGGGAGACAGGCAUGGCCGCCCCUUGUCAUACGAGUCAGGAGAAGCUACCGUACAGCUGGGAAGUGUGGCCUGGGGUCUGGCUGCCUGGCACUGAAUAUUUCUCCACGCUGAGCUGCACCCAGGAGAAAUUAUCAAGGGAAAACCCUUCGUUCUUCUCGCUGCUCUCCAGUCGCUAAUAUAUUCUGUUGGUCAACAAUGGUCUGGGCGCUGCACUACUAGCAAGCACCCCUGGACGUGCUCCUGAAGUGUACAUUUGAGGAAAAGUCAGCCUGAGGUCCACUGCAGAUAGCGCUCCCAUUUCCCAGCUCGCAGCCAUGGUGAUCUUGCACGCUCACCCGGUUGCACGGGCGACGUAUCCCAUGACCCCCGUCAGGUGCACGCAACAUCAGAGCAAAGCCCUCCUCUGGGGAGAAGACAGGGGUCCAGCGGCAACCGUGUCCAGCAGGUCAGCCUGGGCCCUGCGGUCACGGCCUGCAGGACUGGGGUUGGUCUCGGAUGAGAAAGGAGCAUCUGCCACCACAGCUGGGGCUCUGCGGGUCACAGCUCGAGAGCCGUGGCUUGACGCAAGUCACUGUUCCAAUGUUCGAAGCCUGUUGUAUGUACAUGCUGCAGUACAAAACUUUAAAGCAGUAGAUGCUCCGGGUGGAUCGGCAUCUUAUGAAGCACAGGGGCAAAUCUACAGGCACAAUCAAGGGUUAUAAUGGGUGCUUAUAUUUCUGCCAGUACUGUAAACUCCCCCCC